ACAAGAUGAAAUCAUUCAGUCAGCAAGACACUUGCUGCAGUUGCUGACAUGAUCCAACCGAGCUGCUGCUGUGAUGAAUCAGAAUACAAGAGAACAGAGUCAAGGUGGCCAGGGUACCAGCUUGGUCAACCCUGAAAGACCGUCCGUUCAUCAAGAAAUGACCAGGUGAAAAAGUCAUAAACUAAACACUCUGCAUGAGCAUAGAAUUUAGGAUGCAACUUUAUAUCUUACCUGCUCUACACUCAGGGCUUGAAUUACAACAGUCAAUCACAUAAAAAAAAAUAUAUACUUUUGGUAGUUCUGUGUCUCUGUCUCUCCUCCAAACCCAGAUGGCUGCUGGUACUGAACCGGGUUCUGGUUCUGCUGGAGGUUUCUUCUUGUUAAAGGGGAGUUUUUCCUCUGCACUGUCACUUCAUGCUGCUCAGUGUGAGGGAUUGUUGAGGUUGUGUCCAUAUGUCCUGGGAACAACUGCUGGGCAAUGACACCAUGCAAUCUUCUGGGAUUCCUUAGAAAACCUGUGAACUGCACUUGUCCUUGGUCUUCACAGCUCACCUUUUUACUGUUUAUUGAAUCAAAAUGCUCCAGUGACAUGGAUUCUACAUUGUAACUGAUGUGAUGUUCUAUAAAGUGGUUUUAAUAAAAAAAAAAGAGGCAAAAAUUA
Non-coding RNA from Neolamprologus brichardi, 661 nucleotides. NCBI's taxonomy places the organism in Eukaryota, Metazoa, Chordata, Actinopteri, Cichliformes, Cichlidae. The record is from RefSeq and is a predicted model, not a curated record.